AAAUAUUCACCACCCUGAAACUGCACUUGAUUCCUUCACACGGGAAGCUUCUGGAAGCUGUAAGGGUGACAGGUAUCAAAAAAGAAGGAAGACUGCCCCCAGGCCGGGAGGGUCUGUUGGUGUGCUGCUCUUGUUCCAUGAAAUCCAGUGCAUUCCAUAGAAAUUCUAGAAGUCUUCACAUGGCUAGCUCCUCCCUGCUGCUUCUGAAUUGGUUUCCCAGACAAACUAUUUGGGACAUAUUGUCACUGAAACAUUAUUCACUGUUUAUCUGAAGUUCAAAUUCGACUUUCUAUCCUCUGGCCACUCUAAUUCCUAGUGACUUAGAUUCUGAGCACAAAAUGAACUGGAACAAACAAACGAACAAAAUGACUUUCAUUCUACAUGGAAGAAAUGUAUACUCAACAAACUUAAUUCUUUGUGCAUCGACACUGCCGUGGAUUCAUACAUCCCCCUGGAAGAUACCAGGGACUUACUCUGGAAACGUACACAGGGCGCCUCAGGAAGUUUGUGGGAAAAUAGAAGUAAAAGGGAAAACGACACGCCGUUGUCAUUUCGUCGUAAAGCACAAAACACGUUCCUGUGUUGAAGUCUGCAUCUACUUUCAUCUGUUUCAGUCAGCUAAGCGGUGGAGGAGCUAA
This 638-nucleotide long non-coding RNA is filed under the name Oryctolagus cuniculus (rabbit). RNAcentral describes it as "lncRNA (ENSOCUG00000036817.1)". The record is from RNAcentral. Lineage: Eukaryota; Metazoa; Chordata; Mammalia; Lagomorpha; Leporidae.